UACGGGGGGGGCAAGCGUUGUUCGGAAUUACUGGGCGUAAAGGGCUUGUAGGCGGCCAACUAAGUCAGACGUGAAAUCCCUCGGCUUAACCGGGGAACUGCGUCUGAUACUGGAUGGCUUGAGUUCGGGAGAGGGAUGCGGAAUUCCAGGUGUAGCGGUGAAAUGCGUAGAUAUCUGGAGGAACACCGGUGGCGAAGGCGGCAUCCUGGACCAAUUCUGACGCUGAGGAGCGAAAGCCAGGGGAGCAAACGGG
Molecule: ribosomal RNA, 253 nt
Filed under: uncultured bacterium
Lineage: Bacteria
Description: partial 16S ribosomal RNA
Rfam family: Bacterial small subunit ribosomal RNA
Source: RNAcentral